CUCACUCAGUCGACCCCGCGCGCGCACACAGCCCGCGUCCUCUUCGCCCCCGGCUCGGUCCUGCCCCGCGUCCCUGCAGUUCACAAAGGGCGUCGGCCAGCUCCUGGGUGGUGACCUCGAUGAACUUGGGAUCUUGAGCAAACUGCCCCAGUCCUUCUGAAAUCAAGACCUGAAGGAGCGGGGUGGGAGCCAUGAAGAACCAAAGGAACAUUAUUCCUGGAGCCCAGCUCUUCCCUUGAGGGCUAGAGCGAGGGGUAUCUGAGAAACCAUUCUCCCUGGUGAAACUGCUGAGACAGGCCCACUGCCCAUUGCCUGCCGCUGCCUUUCCAGGGGUGAGGUAUCUGUGCAAACACGGCGCAUGCCCCUGCCUUGCUUCUGCUGGGAAGGGCCAGCAGGUGACCCUUAAGCUUCUCUGUCCUCCCUACAGGCUGCUUAGUGCCUGGCUAUGGGAAAAUCGGCUCCUGAGCCAGCGGGUCGGGGGAAGCUGAGUGCAGCCUGGCACUCGCUCCUUCCAGGCAUCUGUCUUGCUCCUUGCCCACGCCACUCAUUCUCUCCUUGCCCUGCUUAGUU
RNAcentral lists this non-coding RNA (570 nucleotides) under Pan troglodytes (chimpanzee). Lineage: Eukaryota; Metazoa; Chordata; Mammalia; Primates; Hominidae. The record is from RNAcentral.